AACAAAUGCCUACUCCAUAGGCAGAGCAGAUGCAUGGGCUGUUGAUUGCCUACUUUUACGAUUAUUUCUUGAUAAUGUGCUAAAGGAGGGGUGGAUUAUUCAUGAGUUUUCUGGGAAAGGGGUGGGAAAUUCCCUGGAACUGAGGGUUCCUCCCCUUUUCGGACCAUAUAGGGUAACUUCCUGAUGUUUUCAUGGCAUUUGUAAACUCUCCUGGUGCUGCUGAAAGUGUCUUUUAGCAUGCUAAUGUAUUAUAAUUAACAUAUAAUGAGCAGUGAGGAGACCAGAGGUUGCCAUCUUGGUUUUGGUGGGGUUUGGCCAGCUUCUUUACCUCGGACUAUUAUAUCAGCAAGGUCUUUGUGACCUAUAUCUUACGCCAACCUCCUGUUUCAUCCUGUGACUUAGAACGCCAUAACCUCCUGGGAAUGCAGCCCAAUAGGUCUCAGCCUCAUUUUACCCAGCCCCUAUUCAAGAUGGAGUCGCUCUGGUUCAAAUACCUCUGAUACAGAGAGGGAAGAAACACCAACCCUCAGCGUGGACGCUGGCAGCUGCGACCUCUCAUGAAAGGGUGCGGAUGGCCUCUGGUGAACUGGAUGAGGUCUCUGCACCUAAAAAGUGAACUGCCAUAUAAUCCAGCAAUCCCACUGCUGAGUAUAUACCCAAAAGAAAGAAAAUCAGUAAAUCAAACAGAUACCUGCACUUUGAUGUUUGUUGCAGCACAGUUUACAUAGCUAAGAUUUGGAAGCAACCUAAGUGUUCAUCAACAGAUGAAUGGAUAAAGAAAAUGUGGUACAUAGACACAACAGAGCAUUAUUGGUUGUUGUGGUGAUGAAAGAAGAUAACAUAAAAACAGAAAAAUGGCGAAGAGCACAGAUUCCACAGCCUAAUGUCCUGAGUUUAAAUUCCUACUCUGCCAUUUACCAGGCUGGAAGUCCAAGGUGAAGAUGUUGGCAGGGUUGGCUCCUUCUGAGGCUGUGAGGAAAGGAUCUGUUCCAGACCUCUCUCCUUUACUUUGUGGAUGGCCGCCUUGUCCCUGUGUCCUCACCUAAUCUUCCCUCUGUACGUGUGUCCAAAUUUCCUCUUUUUAUAAAGAUGCCACUCAUAUUAGAUUUGGCCCAGCCUAAUGACCUCCUUUCCACUUAGUUACCUUUUGAAAGACUGUCUCCCAAUACGGUCACAUUCUGUUUUAGCCAGGUCUGGCUACUAUUACAGAAUACCCUAGGCUGUGCCUCAGAGUUCUGGAGGCAGGAAGUCCAAGAUCAAGGCACCAGCAGAUCAGUGUCUGGUGAGAGUCUCUUUCUGGUCUGCAGAUGGCCAUCUUCUGGUUGUGGCCUCACAUGGCAGAGAGAAAAAUCACCUCUCUUGUGUCUCUUCUUAUAUAGCACUAACCCCAUUCAAGAGGGAUUCACCCUCACGACCUAGUUACUGCAACAUUGGGGAUUAGGGUUUCAACAUAUGAACUUAGGGUGAAUACAGACAUUCAGUCCAUCACUUAUUCUGAGGUGUUGGGGUAAGAAUUUCCACAUACAAUUUUUUGAUUAUUGGGGACACAAUUUAGUUUAUAACAUAAUGGCAAACAUGGAAAGAAAGCUAAGAAAAAAAAUAUUAAAUGCGGAACAGAAAAUGCUGAACAGAAUGAGAUGACCUAAAACUACACAAUAAGCAAGUUGCAAGGUUUUCCCUUUUACACCUCCAGAUGACUACAAUAUGCACCAUUUCUGUGAGGCAGAGGAGAAUGAAUCUUAUUUUCUGCGUUAGACAAAAGGUAAUAAGCCCUGCAAGUACUUACACAGUCUUGGUGGAAAUACACUGAAAUUUUCUUUUCUUAAAAAAGAAAUAUAUUCUAAAAGAAGUCUAUCCUCCUUUUUAAACUACAGCUGUUUGUAAUGCCAAGGGUUAUUUAGCAACAUACAUUAGUUUGUUUAUUUGUUUUCUGAUAUAAAAAUCUUUGUUAAACAUCUUAUGGUGUGCUGCUAUAAAGACACAUGCACACGUAUGUUUAUUGUGGCACUAUUCACAAUAGCAAAGACUUGGAACCAACCCAAAUGUCCAU
RNAcentral lists this long non-coding RNA (2050 nucleotides) under Homo sapiens (human). RNAcentral describes it as "HSALNT0116420". Lineage: Eukaryota; Metazoa; Chordata; Mammalia; Primates; Hominidae. The record is from RNAcentral.